Phalacrocorax carbo (great cormorant) is the source of this 650-nucleotide non-coding RNA. Lineage: Eukaryota; Metazoa; Chordata; Aves; Suliformes; Phalacrocoracidae. The record is from RefSeq and is a predicted model, not a curated record.
CGCAACCGCUUCACCACCCCCAGAGCCGCGUCACUUCCAGUGUCGGCUGGCGUGGUGGACACGUAAAUAAAUAACUAAACGAGGGACGAACGCAACUGCGGCGGUACUGACCCACUACCGGCUGAGGGAGAUGGUGGCUUAACCGAGUGGCUGAUAUCUUAAGUGCUGGCAAGCCGUUUCCACCGCGGUGGGGCGGCCAUCUUGGACGGGGCGUGAGGCGAUGCCCUGGGUGACGCUGCGGCCGCCAUGUUGAGCUCGGGAGGAAGAGGGCUGCGCCGGGUCGUGGUGUUUUCUGCGCCCUGGCGUAGACAAUAUGAGGAUAAACAACAGCCCGGUUCAUCGGCACAGGAGUGAAGAACUGCAUGCGGAAAAGGAACGGGGCAGCCUUCCUACCAUAGCUGUGUCCAGAGCCAGCUGUCACUUCUCCAAACGGACGAUGGCACCUGAGCCGGUUUGGAAUCUGCAGUCCUAACAAGUUCAGCCAAGUUUUGUGAGCUGAAGAUCUCCAUUUAUCUUUAUCGUAUCAAUUGCUGACAGUGUUUCAAUACGGUGGUAAAAAUCAAAGAGCUGAUGUCCAUCCACAAAUAUUCUAAAACGGGGAUGCUCGCAAAGUAUCUCGACCUGUAAAAAUAAAAUGGUGGAGCACAUUG